UACAGAGGUCCCAAGCGUUGUUCGGAUUCACUGGGCGUAAAGGGUGCGUAGGCGGUCGGGUAAGUCUGAUGUGAAAUCUCACAGCUUAACUGUGAAACUGCAUUGGAUACUAUCCGGCUCGAGGAAUGGAGGGGAGACUGGAAUACUUGGUGUAGCAGUGAAAUGCGUAGAUAUCAAGUGGAACACCAGUGGCGAAGGCGAGUCUCUGGACAUUUCCUGACGCUGAGACACGAAAGCCAGGGGAGCAAACGGG
Molecule: ribosomal RNA, 253 nt
Filed under: uncultured bacterium
Lineage: Bacteria
Description: partial 16S ribosomal RNA
Rfam family: Bacterial small subunit ribosomal RNA
Source: RNAcentral